GGCCUACCAUGGUUUUAACGGGUAACGGGGAAUUAGGGUUCGAUUCCGGAGAGGGAGCCUGAGAAACGGCUACCACAUCCAAGGAAGGCAGCAGGCGCGCAAAUUACCCAAUCCCGAUACGGGGAGGUAGUGACAAUAAAUAACAAUACGGGGCUCUUUCGGGUCUCGUAAUUGGAAUGAGUACAAUUUAAAUCCCUUAACGAGGAACAAUUGGAGGGCAAGUCUGGUGCCAGCAGCCGCGGUAAUUCCAGCUCCAAUAGCGUAUAUUAAAGUUGUUGCAGUUAAAAAGCUCGUAGUUGAACUUCGGAAUCAAUGGAUUGGUCAUGCCGUUGGUAUGUACUGGUCAUAUUGGUUCUCACCUUCUAAGGAACCAUAAUGUCAUUCAUUUGAUGUUUUGGGGAAUUAGGACUGUUACCUUGAAAAAAUUAGAGUGUUUAAAGCAGGCUAACGCUUGAAUACAUUAGCAUGGAAUAAUAAAAUAGGACGGCAUGAUUCUAUUUUGUUGGUUUCUAGGAUCACCGUAAUGAUUAAUAGGGAUAGUUGGGGGCAUUAGUAUUCAAUUGUCAGAGGUGAAAUUCUUGGAUUUAUUGAAGACUAACUACUGCGAAAGCAUUUGCCAAGGAUGUUUUCAUUAAUCAAGAACGAAAGUUAGGGGAUCGAAGACGAUCAGAUACCGUCGUAGUCUUAACCAUAAACUAUGCCGACUAGGAAUCAGACGAUGUUAAUUUUUUAAUGACUCGUUUGGCACCUUACG
Molecule: ribosomal RNA, 754 nt
Filed under: uncultured Glomeromycotina
Lineage: Eukaryota; Fungi; Glomeromycota
Description: bacterial SSU rRNA
Rfam family: Eukaryotic small subunit ribosomal RNA
Source: RNAcentral